Molecule: RNA transcript, 274 nt
Organism: Poecilia reticulata (guppy)
Lineage: Eukaryota; Metazoa; Chordata; Actinopteri; Cyprinodontiformes; Poeciliidae
Source: RefSeq, a predicted model, not a curated record
AAAAGAAGAUGGCGGACGGUCUGUUUUGUUGAAUAUUCGAGUGUUUCUCUAAACAAGUUUAUCAACGAGUAGUUAAUCCUGCUGAAGCAACUUUCACAGAGUUUAAAGGAAUCAUCGUCAAGUCGGAGGAAGAGAUGGAUGAUCAGCGCAGACUGCUGGAUUUCUCCCGGACUCCCCGGAUAAUCUUACACCGGAUAGAUUGCCUGCAAUGUAACGUUUGUAACCAGGAGAGGAGAUCCAUUCGGGACCAGGAGGAGUUAGAACUUCUGCAGGU